GACGUAAACAAUUACGUCACUCACAAAAAUAAAAAUGGUCGGUUUUGUUUUUUACUGUGUUCGGUGAAGCUAAUUUUCCGUUUUUUCCUCGUUAAUUCGCUGUGUAUUCGCGUGGUUUUGGUGUCUCGGGCAAGCCGAAGGAGGAAAAUAUCGAAUUUUCUUUUACAAGUGUCUUGCAAGAAAGUCUGUGUUGUUUGUUGAGGCGGUUGAAAAAUUCAAGGUUAUUUUUCAGGGGUCAUUCUAAGUUUCAGAUCAGCAAUCAUGGCCAUGCAACAAUAUUGUCUUCGAUGGAAUAACCACCAACCCAACUUCAUAUCUGUGUUUUCUAGUCUUCUAAGUAACGAAUCUCUUGUUGAUGUCACUCUGGCUGCUGAAGGAAAGCACCUUCAAGCUCAUAAAGUUGUUUUGUCCGCUUGUAGUUCAUAUUUUCAGUCAUUGUUUACUGUAAACCCUUGCCAACAUCCCAUCGUGAUCCUGAAGGAUGUUAAAUUCAUAGAUCUAAAAAUAAUGGUAGAUUUUAUGUACUACGGCGAGGUGAAUGUGUCACAAGAACAGCUUCCAUACAUACUCAAAACAGCAGAAAUGUUGAAAAUAAAAGGUCUAGCCGAAAUUCCAAUGGAACAAACUAUUAACAAGACAACCAGUAUGGACAAAACUGAACUUCUAACUGCACAAGAUUCAAACUGGAGCUCGGAUGGAAUGCCUUUGCAAACAUCAACUCCUUCACCCUGUAGUCCCGGCAGCAGGAGAAAAAGGUUAAGAAAGUCUUCAUCGGGUUCAGGCUCAGGAGAAAGACAGGAGCCUGUAAUAGAACCACCACAGAAUGAACUGAUUUUAAGUCAAAACAUUCUUAGUUCUGUUAUAAAGUCUGAUCCAGGAGGGUACCCAGAUAACAGUGUUACACAGAAAAGCAGGGAUUCUACAGACUUGCAAAGAGGAGGUUCACAUGAAAGUGUGGAGGGAGAUACAUUGCAUCAAAUAACAUUGCAAGUUCCUCAGCAUCAACAACAUCAACAAGAUGUUGCUUUGCAACACAGUAUAGAAAGUCAAUCAACGUCAUCAGAGAUUCCAGGUACUUCUAGUAAUGUUCAACAUCAACCAUCUCAGCCUAUUACAGACAAAGGUACCACCGUGGAACAGAUCAUGCAACAGAACCAGCCCCCGAUGGGUACCAAAAGGGGGCGAUUUCUGAUGCGGCAACCCCGUAUCAAACGGGAGAGCGAUUCCAGCCAGCCCUCCGACUCAGAGGCACCGUCCCUGCACUACCUGAGCGUACCGUCUUCCGGGAGGAUGGAACGACAGCAUUCUGAUCCCUUGCCAGCGUCGCUAUCGCCGCCCCCUGGGAAUCUGCUGGCCAUACCGGGGGCGGUACUGGUCAAGCAGCACUCGCAUCCGCUGUUGCCCAGUCAGAUACAACAGCCUCUAUCACCACCGCUCAAUAUCCAUCUGAGUCGCCAUAGCGAUACAGAUCCAGCCGAAAGAGCUAUCAGUCCGGUGGUGGUGGUCAGCGCAAGCGCUCAAGCCUCCUACCCUGACCUCUCCAGGUCAGACGUAGCCGAGGUAGCACCGACGCAGAUCCUCAGGGUGAGGACAGAUGAACUGAAAAGAAGUGCAUCAUCGCCCCAGAGUAGUACGCGUUCUAGUCAUUGUCCAGUGAUCAGGCCCGGACCUGCACUAGGCUGUAACUAUUGUUGGAACACUGUGGACACUCACGGGAGGAUACUGAGGAGGAAGACGAAGUACCACUGUCCGGAGUGUCAGACGAACUUGUGCAUAGUGCCCUGCUUUCAGGAGUACCACGAAAGACACAGUAAGUACAUUUGGAAGAUAAUAUAUAAUUAUUACAAGUUUGUUUUAAUGAUUGGCUAUAAUAUUAACAAAAAUCAAUCAAGGACUUAUAUCGCCUGGUCUAGAAGCAUGGACUUUUGUAUAAAGGUUCUUUGUGUAACGUAAUUUGGCACCAAGAAGGGAUUUUCGAAAUUUCAGUUCCUAAGGGGAUGAAAUUAGGGGGUUCUUCGUAACUCUUGGUUUUCUAAGCAUACAAAUUGGCAGAAAGGUUCUUUCAAAUGACAUUAAUUUUUGCGAGAAAGUGAUGGGAUGAAAAUUUGUAUGAAAAUUUUGAACAAGGGUUCAUAGAGUGACAUCAGGUACUUCACACGCGGACCCCGUAACACUAACUAGUUCGGUGAUGAAAAUGUUCCCAAAAACCAACACUAUGUAACACUAAAAAAAAACGAAAUCAGUUCAAAAAUCAGUGUUUUUUCGAGAAAAAAAGCGUUUGGUGCGCGCAAAUCGCCGUCUAAGGUGAUAGGAAGCUUUGGUGAUAAGGGUGGUACGGCCUAAGAUGGUUAUAAAUGUAUUUGUGAUAUGAUUAAAGUGAAAGAAGAAAGUAUUAACGACUAGUUUUGCUGUUUUGAGCUCUGUGGUACUAUAGGAUUUAUUCGAAGAUGGAUCUUGUUUGAUCUUUUUUCAAAAUUUUAAGAAUCUCUAUUUAUUUAUAUGUAUAGUAUAUUUUUUAUGAGGAAAAAAUGCAUCUAUUGUGUAAUCCAAGAUAAAACUGGCAGAAGUAUUGCUCAGGAAAAGAAGAAUAAUAUUUAGGUUAAGAAUUUGGCGAGUACUACACAAAAAUUGGUAUUUUUUGAAGUUGUUAAUUAUUAUUAAUAUCAAUCCCUUUUACUUGCUGAGGUGGAGGAAAACAGAAACUUGUAUUUUAUCUCUCUGUCUGGAGAUAAAAAUAAUUUGUAUUUUUUGUACGAAUUUUUGUACAUAUAUGGGGGUGUCCCACUUAAAAUGGA
This is an RNA transcript of Sitophilus oryzae (rice weevil), 2795 nucleotides long. It is a transcript of the gene named longitudinals lacking protein, isoforms H/M/V-like, with no coding region annotated. The record is from RefSeq and is a predicted model, not a curated record. NCBI's taxonomy places the organism in Eukaryota, Metazoa, Arthropoda, Insecta, Coleoptera, Curculionidae. The transcript has 10 exons.